AAUAUAUGUAUUUGUUGCCUUUCAGACGUCACGUUUGACCAUCCGUCUUAUUUAAAAAUUUUGUGAAUAUAUUAUUUAUUUUGUUAUGAUUUGUUUUAUCAUUAGGUAUACUUCAAGUAUGACUUAUUUGUUUUUAUAUUUUAUAAAAUUUUUGAAUAAGACAGAUAGUCAAACGUGAUGUGUGAAAACCAAUAAUUACUUAUAUU
Molecule: microRNA precursor, 206 nt
Filed under: Leersia perrieri
Lineage: Eukaryota; Viridiplantae; Streptophyta; Magnoliopsida; Poales; Poaceae
Description: MIR812 microRNA precursor family
Rfam family: MIR812 microRNA precursor family
Source: Rfam by way of RNAcentral